GUGAGGAAUAUUGGUCAAUGGGCGGGAGCCUGAACCAGCCAAGUCGCGUGAAGGAAGAAGGAUCUAUGGUUCGUAAACUUCUUUUGCAGGGGAAUAAAGUGCGGGACGUGUCCUGUUUUGUAUGUACCCUGAGAAUAAGGAUCGGCUAACUCCGUGCCAGCAGCCGCGGUAAUACGGAGGAUCCGAGCGUUAUCCGGACUUAUUGGGUUUAAAGGGUGCGUAGGUGGUUUGAUAAGUCAGCGGUGAAAGUUUGCAGCUUAACUGUAAAAAUGCCGUUGAAACUGUCGGACUUGAGUGUAAAUGAGGUAGGCGGAAUGCGUGGUGUAGCGGUGAAAUGCAUAGAUAUCACGCAGAACUCCGAUUGCGAAGGCAGCUUACUAAGCUACAACUGACACUGAAGCACGAAAGCGUGGGGAUCAAACAGGAUUAGAAACCCCGGUAGUCC
RNAcentral lists this ribosomal RNA (445 nucleotides) under uncultured bacterium. Its description in RNAcentral is "partial 16S ribosomal RNA". It matches the Rfam family "Bacterial small subunit ribosomal RNA", at positions 354 to 796 of the family's 1533-position model. The record is from RNAcentral.